UUUCCGUAGGCGAACCUGCGGAAGGAUCAUUAUUGUAUAACCGAGGUGCGAGGGCUGUCGCUGACCCGAAAGGUCGUGCACGCCCGAGUGCCCUCACACACAUCCAUCUCACCCCUAUGUGCACCACCGCGUGGGUCCCCCUUUGGCUUGUUCGGAGGGGGGCUUACGUUUUCACACAAACUUUGUAUGCAGUGUAGAAUGUAUUUUUUGUUUUUGCGAUCACGCAAUCAAUACAACUUUCAACAACGGAUCUCUUGGCUCUCGCAUCGAUGAAGAACGCAGU
RNAcentral lists this unclassified non-coding RNA (283 nucleotides) under plant metagenome. RNAcentral describes it as "partial contains small subunit ribosomal RNA, internal transcribed spacer 1, and 5.8S ribosomal RNA". The stretch from base 235 to 283 matches the Rfam family "5.8S ribosomal RNA", at positions 1 to 49 of the family's 154-position model. The record is from RNAcentral.